UCCAGGCCGCCCUGCACCGUGAAGCCCCACGGAGCUCCCCCCUGCAGCCGGGCCUCCACCAGCACCCAGCCGCCUCCCCCUCCGCCCGCCGGCUGGAGCCCCGCCCGGCCGCGGCUCUCCAUGUCCGGCCUGCGGGGCUGGAACCCAGAAUGAAGCGAACCCCGGAUCCUUCACAGGUGCAUCGCUGCUCAUUUACAAAUCCUGUGGUUUGUAGAGAAACAGAGAUGGGGGGGGGGGGUCCAGUCCUCCCCGCAGGGCGCGUUCCCGGCGCGCGCGCAGAAAGACGCGGAUCCCGCGGCGGUUAAAGUCCAACAGGAGGCCGGAUGGAGUCUGGAAGGAGUCCCGAAAGUUUGAGAGGAGAAGAAGGAGAAUCUGCUCCAACUGAGACCCGCAGCUUCUGCUCUCCUUCCCUCUCUGCCCAGAUCAGUUUAGCAUCACAAUAGGAUUUACUGCGACUCACUGAGCAAAGAGAAAAGACAGGAGGAGGAGGAGGAGGAGGAGGUGCAGAGAGGAGGAGGCAUGAGGAGGACAGGCCGAGCGAGCUGAAGGAAACCGAAAACACGGCGGAGCAGGAAUGCAGAUCAGCUGGGAGUAAAAAAAGGAUGUUGGAGUCAAAGGGCGACUUUCUAAUCCGAUCCUCCACACCAGAGCUGGACUCGGUUUGCUUUCACACUGGAACCAGAUUAAAACCAGAUUACAGCUUCUGCUGGUUGCAUUGCUUUAGAAACCAAAUCAGCUGUUUGGAGGUUCAGGAUCCUGGAAUAUCUGAUCCGAGUCUCCAGGUCCGUCAGAUGGCAGGAACCUGGACUGAGGUUCUGCAGGUGGAACCCAGCACCUCAACGUUUCUUCAAAGAAAAAAUUUUCCCUACUGAGCAAAAGUUGAUUUCCCAUAAAAACGCCACAAAACAUUGAUAGUUGGUUAGACACUGACCUCUAGUGGCAGAUAAUGAGAUAGCAACCAAUCUGAUUUAUGUGAGCUUGAACUGUAGAGUAAACUUUGAAAUAACUAAACUUGUCACAAAAACAAU
Cyprinodon tularosa is the source of this 1028-nucleotide long non-coding RNA. RefSeq lists it as uncharacterized. The transcript has 2 exons. NCBI's taxonomy places the organism in Eukaryota, Metazoa, Chordata, Actinopteri, Cyprinodontiformes, Cyprinodontidae. The record is from RefSeq and is a predicted model, not a curated record.